AUUGAACGCGUGGCGGCAUGCCUAACACAUGCAAGUCGAACGGCAGCACGGGGGCAACCCUGGUGGCGAGUGGCGGACGGGUGAGGAAUGCAUAGGAAUCUGCCCAGUUGUGGGGGAUAACGUAGGGAAACUUACGCUAAUACCGCAUACGACCUACGGGUGAAAGAGGGGGACCUUCGGGCCUCUCGCGAUUGGAUGAGCCUAUGCCGGAUUAGCUAGUUGGCGGGGUAAGAGCCCACCAAGGCGACGAUCCGUAGCUGGUCUGAGAGGAUGAUCAGCCACACUGGAACUGAGACACGGUCCAGACUCCUACGGGAGGCAGCAGUGGGGAAUAUUGGACAAUGGGCGCAAGCCUGAUCCAGCAAUGCCGCGUGUGUGAAGAAGGCCUUCGGGUUGUAAAGCACUUUUGUUUGGGAAGAAAUCCGGUUGGUUAAUACCUGAUCGGGAUGACGGUACCAAAAGAAUAAGCACCGGCUAACUUCGUG
RNAcentral lists this ribosomal RNA (485 nucleotides) under uncultured bacterium. RNAcentral's name for it is "bacterial SSU rRNA". It matches the Rfam family "Bacterial small subunit ribosomal RNA", at positions 37 to 507 of the family's 1533-position model. The record is from RNAcentral.